UACGUAGGGACCAAGCGUUGUUCGGAUUUACUGGGCGUAAAGGGCGCGUAGGCGGCGCGGUAAGUCACUUGUGGAAUCUCUGAGCUUAACUCAGAACGGCCAAGUGAUACUGCAGUGCUAGAGUGUGGAAGGGGCAAUCGGAAUUCUUGGUGUAGCGGUGAAAUGCGUAGAUAUCAAGAGGAACACCUGAGGUGAAGACGGGUUGCUGGGCCAACACUGACGCUGAGGCGCGAAAGCCAGGGGAGCAAACGGG
Molecule: ribosomal RNA, 253 nt
Filed under: uncultured bacterium
Lineage: Bacteria
Description: partial 16S ribosomal RNA
Rfam family: Bacterial small subunit ribosomal RNA
Source: RNAcentral